This 301-nucleotide ribosomal RNA is filed under the name uncultured bacterium. RNAcentral describes it as "partial 16S ribosomal RNA". It matches the Rfam family "Bacterial small subunit ribosomal RNA", at positions 509 to 807 of the family's 1533-position model. The record is from RNAcentral.
CAGCAGCCGCGGUAAUACGAAGGGGGCUAGCGUUGUUCGGAAUUACUGGGCGUAAAGCGCACGUAGGCGGAUACUUAAGUUAGGGGUGAAAUCCCAGGGCUCAACCCUGGAACUGCCUUUAAUACUGGGUAUCUAGAGUAUGGUAGAGGUGAGUGGAAUUCCGAGUGUAGAGGUGAAAUUCGUAGAUAUUCGGAGGAACACCAGUGGCGAAGGCGGCUCACUGGACCAUUUCUGACGCUGAUGCACGAAAGCUAGGGGAGCAAACAGGAUUAGAUACCCGCGUAGUCCCUGUCUCUUAUAC